GUGUGUUCCAGGUAAAUCCGGUUCACUUUAACACUGAGGCGUGACGACGAGGCACUACGGUGCUGAAGCAACAAAUGCCCUGCUUCCAGGAAAAGCCUCUAAGCAUCAGGUAACAUCAAAUCGUACCCCAAACCGACACAGGUGGUCAGGUAGAGAAUACCAAGGCGCUUGAGAGAACUCGGGUGAAGGAACUAGGCAAAAUGGUGCCGUAACUUCGGGAGAAGGCACGCUGACACGUAGGUGAAGUGAUUUACUCAUGGAGCUGAAGUCAGUCGAAGAUACCAGCUGGCUGCAACUGUUUAUUAAAAACACAGCACUGUGCAAACACGAAAGUGGACGUAUACGGUGUGACGCCUGCCCGGUGCCGGAAGGUUAAUUGAUGGGGUCAGCGCAAGCGAAGCUCCUGAUCGAAGCCCCGGUAAACGGCGGCCGUAACUAUAACGGUCCUAAGGUAGCGAAAUUCCUUGUCGGGUAAGUUCCGACCUGCACGAAUGGCGUAAUGAUGGCCAGGCUGUCUCCACCCGAGACUCAGUGAAAUUGAACUCGCUGUGAAGAUGCAGUGUACCCGCGGCAAGACGGAAAGACCCCGUGAACCUUUACUAUAGCUUGACACUGAACAUUGAGCCUUGAUGUGUAGGAUAGGUGGGAGGCUUUGAAGUGUGGACGCCAGUCUGCAUGGAGCCGACCUUGAAAUACCACCCUUUAAUGUUUGAUGUUCUAACGUGGACCCGUUACCCGGGUUGCGGACAGUGUCUGGUGGGUAGUUUGACUGGGGCGGUCUCCUCCUAAAGAGUAACGGAGGAGCACGAAGGUUGGCUAAUCCUGGUCGGACAUCAGGAGGUUAGUGCAAUGGCAUAAGCCAGCUUGACUGCGAGCGUGACGGCGCGAGCAGGUGCGAAAGCAGGUCAUAGUGAUCCGGUGGUUCUGAAUGGAAGGGCCAUCGCUCAACGGAUAAAAGGUACUCCGGGGAUAACAGGCUGAUACCGCCCAAGAGUUCAUAUCGACGGCGGUGUUUGGCACCUCGAUGUCGGCUCAUCACAUCCUGGGGCUGAAGUAGGUCCCAAGGGUAUGGCUGUUCGCCAUUUAAAGUGGUACGCGAGCUGGGUUUAGAACGUCGUGAGACAGUUCGGUCCCUAUCUGCCGUGGGCGCUGGAGAACUGAGGGGGGCUGCUCCUAGUACGAGAGGACCGGAGUGGACGCAUCACUGGUGUUCGGGUUGUCAUGCCAAUGGCACUGCCCGGUAGCUAAAUGCGGAAGAGAUAAGUGCUGAAAGCAUCUAAGCACGAAACUUGCCCCGAGAUGAGUUCUCCCUGAGACUUAGAGUCUCCUGAAGGAACGUUGAAGACGACGACGUUGAUAGGCCGGGUGUGUAAGCGCAGCGAUGCGUUGAGCUAACCGGUAC
RNAcentral lists this ribosomal RNA (1402 nucleotides) under Salmonella enterica subsp. enterica serovar Enteritidis. RNAcentral's name for it is "partial 23S ribosomal RNA". It matches the Rfam family "Bacterial large subunit ribosomal RNA", at positions 1525 to 2901 of the family's 2925-position model. The record is from RNAcentral. Lineage: Bacteria; Pseudomonadati; Pseudomonadota; Gammaproteobacteria; Enterobacterales; Enterobacteriaceae.